This 468-nucleotide ribosomal RNA is filed under the name uncultured bacterium. Its description in RNAcentral is "partial 16S ribosomal RNA". It matches the Rfam family "Bacterial small subunit ribosomal RNA", at positions 28 to 507 of the family's 1533-position model. The record is from RNAcentral.
GACGAACGCUGGCGGCGUGCUUAACACAUGCAAGUCGAACGGAAAGGCCCUGCUUUUGUGGGUUUCUCGAGUGGCGAACGGGUGAGUAACACGUGUGUAACCUGCCCUUUACUUUGGGAUAUCUUCUGGUAACUGGGGCUAUUACCGUAUAUGAUCUCCUGCUGCAUGGUGGUCGUUGGUUAGUUUCGGCGGUUGGGGAUGGUCUCGCUGCUUAUCAGCUUGUUUGUGGGGUAGUGGCUUACCAAGGCUUUGACGGGUAGCCGGCAUGAGAGGGUGACCGGGAACAAUGGGACUGAGAGACGGCCCAGAAGGGAACGGGAGGCAGAAGGGGGGAAUAUUGCAGAAUGGGAGGAAGCGAGAUGAAGAAAAGCAGGGAGCGGGAAGAAGGGCUACGGGUGGAAAAAAGAUUUAGAAUGAGAAGAAGAGAGAGUGACGGUAAUGGGUAAAGAAGCAACGGCUAACUACGUG